Molecule: ribosomal RNA, 253 nt
Filed under: uncultured bacterium
Lineage: Bacteria
Description: partial 16S ribosomal RNA
Rfam family: Bacterial small subunit ribosomal RNA
Source: RNAcentral
AACGUAGGAGACAAACGUUAUCCGGAGUUACUGGGCGUAAAGGGCGUGUAGGCGGGUAGGUAAGUCUGGCGUGAAAGCUCUCGGCUAAACCGGGAGAGGUCGUUGGAUACUGGCUGACUAGAGGACGGUAGAGGCGUGUGGAAUUCCGGGUGUAGUGGUGAAAUGCGUAGAGAUCCGGAGGAACACCAGUGGCGAAGGCGACACGCUGGGCCGUACCUGACGCUAAAGCGCGACAGCAUGGGGAGCAAACGGG